UCGAGCGAAUGGAUUAAGAGCUUGCUCUUAUGAAGUUAGCGGCGGACGGGUGAGUAACACGUGGGUAACCUGCCCAUAAGACUGGGAUAACUCCGGGAAACCGGGGCUAAUACCGGAUAACAUUUUGAACCGCAUGGUUCGAAAUUGAAAGGCGGCUUCGGCUGUCACUUAUGGAUGGACCCGCGUCGCAAUAGCUAGUUGGUGAGGUAACGGCUCACCAAGGCAACGAUGCGUAGCCGACCUGAGAGGGUGAUCGGCCACACUGGGACUGAGACACGGCCCAGACUCCUACGGGAGGCAGCAGUAGGGAAUCUUCCGCAAUGGACGAAAGUCUGACGGAGCAACGCCGCGUGAGUGAUGAAGGCUUUCGGGUCGUAAAACUCUGUUGUUAGGGAAGAACAAGUGCUAGUUGAAUAAGCUGGCACCUUGACGGUACCUAACCAGAAAGCCACGGCUAACUACGUGCCAGCAGCCGCGGUAAUACGUAGGUGGCAAGCGUUAUCCGGAAUUAUUGGGCGUAAAGCGCGCGCAGGUGGUUUCUUAAGUCUGAUGUGAAAGCCCACGGCUCAACCGUGGAGGGUCAUUGGAAACUGGGAGACUUGAGUGCAGAAGAGGAAAGUGGAAUUCCAUGUGUAGCGGUGAAAUGCGUAGAGAUAUGGAGGAACACCAGUGGCGAAGGCGACUUUCUGGUCUGUAACUGACACUGAGGCGCGAAAGCGUGGGGAGCAAACAGGAUUAGAUACCCUG
RNAcentral lists this ribosomal RNA (747 nucleotides) under Bacillus thuringiensis. RNAcentral describes it as "bacterial SSU rRNA". It matches the Rfam family "Bacterial small subunit ribosomal RNA", at positions 62 to 789 of the family's 1533-position model. Lineage: Bacteria; Bacillati; Bacillota; Bacilli; Caryophanales; Bacillaceae. The record is from RNAcentral.